UGAAGAGUCAUUGGCUUGGUU
RNAcentral lists this microRNA (21 nucleotides) under Tribolium castaneum (red flour beetle). Its description in RNAcentral is "tca-miR-11619a-3p". The record is from miRBase by way of RNAcentral. Lineage: Eukaryota; Metazoa; Arthropoda; Insecta; Coleoptera; Tenebrionidae.